This 45-nucleotide non-coding RNA is filed under the name Schistosoma margrebowiei. The record is from RNAcentral. Lineage: Eukaryota; Metazoa; Platyhelminthes; Trematoda; Strigeidida; Schistosomatidae.
AUCCAACUGACGAGCCCCAAAUAGGAUGAAACGCGCAUCCUAGAU